AUUGAACGCUAGCGGGAUGCUUUACACAUGCAAGUCGAACGGCAGCGCGGACUUCGGUCUGGCGGCGAGUGGCGAACGGGUGAGUAAUGUAUCGGAACGUGCCCAGUAGCGGGGGAUAACUACGCGAAAGCGUAGCUAAUACCGCAUACGCCCUACGGGGGAAAGGGGGGGAUCGCAAGACCUCUCACUAUUGGAGCGGCCGAUAUCGGAUUAGCUAGUUGGUGAGGUAAAGGCUCACCAAGGCGACGAUCCGUAGCUGGUUUGAGAGGACGACAAGCCACACGGGGACUGAGACACGGCCCAGACUCCUACGGGAGGCAGCAGUGGGGAAUUUUGGGCAAUGGGGGCAACCCUGAUCCAGCCAUCCCGCGUGUGCGAUGAAGGCCUUCGGGUUGUAAAGCACUUUUGGCAGGGAGGAAAAGUUUCGGGCUAAUACCCUGGAGCGAUGACGGUACCUGCAGAAUAAGCACCGGCUAACUACGUGCCAGCCGCCGCAGUAA
This 500-nucleotide ribosomal RNA is filed under the name uncultured bacterium. RNAcentral describes it as "partial 16S ribosomal RNA". It matches the Rfam family "Bacterial small subunit ribosomal RNA", at positions 29 to 523 of the family's 1533-position model. The record is from RNAcentral.